AGCUCCAAUAGCGUAUAUUAAAGUUGUUGCGGUUAAAAAGCUCGUAGUUGGAUUUCUGUUGAGGAUGGACGGUCCGCACUAAGUGCGUGUAUCUGUUGCAGCCUCGGCAUCCUCUUGGAGAACGGCGCUGUGAUUCAUUUCAUGGUCCGGAAUUCAAGACUUUUACUUUGAGGAAAUUAGAGUGUUCACGGCAAGCAAUCGCUUUGAAUACAUUAGCAUGGAAUAAUAAUAUAGGACCUUGGUACUAUUUUGUUGGUUUCUAGAACUGAGGUAAUGAUAAAUAGGAACAGUUGGGGGGCAUUCGUAUUAAGACGUCAGAGGUGGAAUUCUUGGAUUGUCUUACGACGAACUACUGCGAAAGCAUUUGCCAAGGAUGUUUUCAUUGAUCAAGAACGAAAAGACACG
RNAcentral lists this ribosomal RNA (405 nucleotides) under uncultured eukaryote. Its description in RNAcentral is "SSU rRNA". It matches the Rfam family "Eukaryotic small subunit ribosomal RNA", at positions 587 to 995 of the family's 1831-position model. The record is from RNAcentral.